GUUUAAUCAAUGUCACAGCUCAGCACAGUGCGCGACUAACGCCACUGUCAUUCCUCGCUUCAGAUUUGCCUGGCUAAGUUAUGCAAUGCUCCGAAGCAUACCUUGGAAUUCUUUCCAGAGGAUCUGAAUGCAGGUGUGUGACAGCGUUCACACUACUGCCAGGAAAGCAGACUUCUUUUCAUCCUUUUUCAGGCUGGACUAAAAUUACCUAGUGUGACUGCACGUAGUUCGCUGCAUUCGGAAUUACAGCGUGUCAACGUGAGAAAGCCUCUUCAGAUGGCUGCCACAAAGAGUACAUCAACGGCCGGGGUUUCUGAAGUCUCAAUAAAUUACCAAGUGUAAGUGAGUAAAACCAGGGGCUGUUCGUAUUUUUCUCUUUUUUUAAGGCAAAACUGAACAGCACGCAUUUCGCUGCUCUGCAUCAUCUAAGGAAAAAAUCCUCAGUUUUAAUGAGAAUUAGUCAACAGCGAGGAUCAUCACCAGGAAGGGUUUUACUGUUUUUCACCUACUCUUGCUUCAGUGGAUUACCGAGAGAGAAAGGCCAGUCAUUUGGAAGAUUCUGUAACAUUAUUAUCCUCACCGAUAAACUACUUCAUCAAGGAACUGUUCAUGCUCCUGUCUGGUCUGUCUGAGUGAGGAGAGCAGCCCCUUCAUGAAGAUAAAAGCCUGGUUUGCCACUGAAACGACGAGUAAGAAGCAUGUCUGAUGACAUUUUAUUCCUGAUGCAAUGUAGGCUAGCUGCCAGAAUACUGGUGAAGGUAUUUGCAGGAAAAAUGGGGACCUCUGCCAUCACAACACUGGAAGAUGUAAAAAGGCAGGAGGA
Long non-coding RNA from Eurypyga helias (sunbittern), 823 nucleotides. RefSeq lists it as uncharacterized. NCBI's taxonomy places the organism in Eukaryota, Metazoa, Chordata, Aves, Eurypygiformes, Eurypygidae. The record is from RefSeq and is a predicted model, not a curated record. The transcript has 2 exons.